Molecule: long non-coding RNA, 11599 nt
Organism: Astyanax mexicanus (Mexican tetra)
Lineage: Eukaryota; Metazoa; Chordata; Actinopteri; Characiformes; Acestrorhamphidae
Exons: 2
Source: RefSeq, a predicted model, not a curated record
AGUGUAUUUUAGGAUUUCAUUUCUAAUUUUUUCUCCAUUUUUUCCACAAUUUACACGACCAAUUAUCCAACUUACGCAUUAGGACUCCCCCUAUCACUAGUGAGUAAAGACUAGCACAUGCCUCCUUCGACACAUGUGAAGUUAGACUCCGCCUCUUUUUGAACUGAUGCUGCUGAUGCAGCAUUGCCGAGUAGCAUCACAGCGCUAACACUCGGAGAAAAAGUGCAGCGACUAGGUUCCGACACAUCAGCUCACAGACGCAGCCUUGUUCUGAUCGACAUCACCCUUUGGAGUGAUGUGGGGAGAAAGAGAACCCCAUCUACCCAUCCAGAGAGAGAGAGAGCAAGGUCAAUUGUGCUCCCUCAGGAAUCCGGUAGCCGAUGGUAAGCUACAUGAACAGGAUUCGAACAGCGCUUAGCUUGCUGUACCACUCAGAGCCCUUUUAUGUAUGAGUUCUACCAGUCAGGUGUUAAGGAGCAGUAAAAAAAAUACUUCACUAAAGUACAGCAUUAUAAAGAAGUUUCAGUGAAGUUUCUCCAGCACCAAGGCUGGAGCAGUAUUAGCAUUAGCCGCUAACUGUAGCACUUGCUCUUUCACUAUUCAGAGGCGAGUAUAUAAGACUGUAAUCUGCGUGUUUUAUCGUGUUAAAACGAGCUACUUGGAACAAACCGCUAGCUAAGCACUAGCGCUAAGCACUGCUGCUAACUGCCGCUAGUGCUUCUGCUAAUCGCACUGUUGAAAAUAUUGCAAAUCUAAGCAUACAGUAAUAAAUGGAAGCGUUUUACUCACCCAAAUAAACAGUUUUCAGGAGAGAAAUCUGUGUAGAUUAAUAUUCGACACCCUUGUUCCUUACUAUUGUCGCUUGAAAAAUGCGUCUUAUAAUCUGGUGCCCCUUAUAGUCUGUGAAAUAUGGUACUUUGUACCUCUAUAAUUAUAGUAUAAUCUAUAAUUCUGUUUCUGUGCAUACUUUAAUAAUAUUAUCCUUUCACUCAUUUUAUGCAUUCAUAUAAACUGAAAACAAUUAAAAUUAAGUAAGAAUAACGCAGUAUCAUGAUAUGCUGUGUGUUUUUUUAUCGUGUCAGAAUUUCUUGAGAUUUUUUUGCUGAGAUAUGAUAUGCUGGGAUAUGGCACACACCUAGUGGCAAAUGUGCCGAUUUUUUUAUUUUUUUUGAUCAAUAUUAGAAUUUCCAACAACGACAGUUUGCAUUAACGUGGUCUGGAAGCUGGAAUUGCCCUACAGGUUCCCCCACUUGGGCACCAAACUCUUUCAUGACUUGUUUCCUUUUUCCAGGUUAAAAAAACGCUAAAAAUGCUUGAAGGGUUAAAUACGUGUGGGUUCAAAACAAGAGGCAUUUAGUUUUUUUUUUUGUUUAAAAAAAAUAACUUUUAAAGGGAAACUUUUGAAGCACAAAAAAACAGAAGUGUGAAAUUUUCACAAGCUGAGGGAUUUUUCUUUGCCCUUUUAGAAGCUGGUGUUUUGAGCAUGACCUUUAAUUAACUGUGAUUUUUUUGCUGAAUAUUGUUAGAAGGCUGGUGAGUCACUGUGUGGUUUCUGUUUCCAGCACAUGAUGAGGAUUGUGAUGGAUAAAGCCGUCGAUGCUCGGCGUUCUGACUGUUCACUCUGAGGAAGAUUUUUAAUACAUUAUAAUAAACCGUGUUGAACCUGUUCUAGAGUGGCUCAUUCAGUCUGAGGUGACGUGGUUGACAUGUUUCCUGAGUGGGAAAUUCAAAGAAUGCCAACAAAAAUGUUACACUCAUUGACAAAAACAUAAAUUAAAGUCUAUUAAAGUUGAUUGACGUAAUGGAAUGCAACGUUAAAUGUGAUUAAGAUAUACAGCUCUGAAAAAAAAUUAAGAGAGCACUUCAGUUUCUGAAUCAGUUUCUCUGAUUUUGCUAUGUAUAGGUAUAUGUUUGAAUAAAAUAUAUAUUUUUAUAUAUAUAAAAUACAGACAACAUUUCUUCCAAAUGUCAAUUACAAAUAUUGUCAUUUAGAGCAUUUAUUUGCAGAAAAUUAAUGACUGAAAUGGCUGAAAUAACAAAAAAAAAAAGACACAGAGCUUUCAGACCUCAAAAAAUGCAAAGAAAACCAGUUCAUAUUCAUAAAGAGUCAUUUUAAGAGUCCAGAAAUCAAUAUUUGGUGGAAUAACCCUGGUGGUUUUUAAUCAGUUUUCAUGCAUCUUGGCAUCAUGUUCUCCUCCACCAGUCUUACACACUGCUUUUGGAUAACUUUAUGCUGCUUUACUCCUGGUGCAAAAUUUCAAGCAGUUCAGUUUGGUGGUUUGAUGGCUUGUGAUCAUCCAUCUUCCUCUUAAUUAUAUUCCAGAGGUUUUUAAUAUGUAUAAAGAUUAUUAGAUUAUAAGAUUAUUAGACAAAACUCUAAAGAUGAAAGGAUGCUGUAGUACCUCAAGCUUUGAUAAAAGAUAAGGUAUGGUUGGGCAUACAGGUGCAUAUAACAUCCUGCACAGCAUUUGCCCUCUUAUGUUACAGCUGGACCUAUAGAUCCUGCACACUCAUAGCAAGCAUUUCAGCUGGCCCCUGAUCAUGUGACCCCAUGUGAUCUGAGAAAUGGCAACUUUACAGGAGAAAGACUUUAUUCCAAGUCAUUUUGAAGAUUUCUAUUGGUCUCUUAAUCAGAAAAUGUGGAUAUAAUAUAAAAAUCAACGACCAGAUUCAGAUUAAAAGGUCAAAAAGUCAAAAUGGCAGAAAAGAGAUGCAAAAUUGAUGCAUGCCAGUGAUUUUAAUACUGUGAUACAAUCAGAAAGUGGAAAUAUUUUAUACAAUCUUCUAUUUGUUGACUCUUAAGAUCACAUAUUGACGCUGUUGCAUCUGAGAAAUGGUAACUUUUACAGGAGAAAGGCUUUAUUUCAAGUCAUGUUGGAGAAUUUCUAUUGGUCUCUUCUUCAUAAAAUGUGGAUAUAAUAUAGAGAUCAAAUACCAGAUUCAGAUUAAAAGGUCAAAAAGUCAAAAUGGCAGAAUGGAGAUGCAGAAUUGAUGCGUGCCAGUGAUUUUAAUACUGUAAUAAAAUCAGAAAGUGGAAAGUAUUUCAUUCUAAGUCAUUUUGGAGAAUUUCUGUUGGUCUCUUCUUCAUAAAAUGUGGAUAUAAUAUAGAGAUCAAAUACCAGAUUCAGAUUAAAAAGAGUUUGAUGAGUGCCAGUGAUUUAAUACUGUAGUAAAAUCAGAAAGUGGAAAGUCCCUAAGCUAAUUUUAAGGUAUGAGGGCUAAAAAUGAGCAGGAUAUGUGCUGUACAUGCUUGCAGUAAGUGUGUGUGAGUGUGUAGGAGUAGAGCAGGUGUGACAUGGCUGCCAGUGUAAGGGUGAGCAGUUACUGGAAGAGAUGAAAAUGACUCUUUCUCCCUAUUUCUCUCUCUCUCUCUUCCUCUCUCUCUCUCUCUCUCUCUCUCUGUGUUUUUCUCUGUAUGUAGGUGAGGCGACACUCGAGAACCAAAGUCAACAAGUCGUGUUUUUCUUUUUUCUUUCUUUCUUGCUGCCACUGAGAGCUUAGAACAGGAAGAGAGGAGUGUGUUAGAGGUGUGUGUGUGUGUGUAAGUGUGUGUGUAAGUUUGUGUGAGGAAGAGCGUGAGCGGCAGAACCGGUGCGACUGCAAGCCUCAAGCCAGGGUGUGAGAGCCGAGUUUGUGUGUGUCACAUUGUGUGUGCAUGACCGGUGUGUAUGUGUGUUAUAUGUGUGUGUGUGUGUGUGUUUGUGUGUGUUCCCGAGGGCUGAUGAGAUUAUUGAAGUGUAAUUUUUGCAGAAUGUUGCAAAAAUCCUCUGAGAACAGCGUCAGCCGACCUGCUGAACUCCCCCAGCCUCCAGCCCCCUCGCCAGAAAUCAGAAAACCCUAAACUCAAGAUUUAAUCUAAGCUAAAAUCCUGAUUUUGAUCUAAAGUAGGCGUUCCUGAGUCUCCUGAGGCUCUAGAUGUUAAUAAGUGUUCAGUAAUAAAGGUGUCGUAUUGAGGCGACUCAUGAAUCAUCACAGUGAAUUCGGUCAGAACCAAACUGGGUGGGAGGGAGGGGCGGGGCUUCUGCUGAUUAAUUCAGAUACAUUCAUUUUAGUUACCGUAUUUUUUGGACUAUAAGGUGUACCGGAUUAAAAGGCGCACUAUCAAUGAACGGCUAUUUUCUGGUCUAUUUUUUUCAUACAUAAGGCGCACCGGAUUAUAAGGUGCAUUAAUUAAUUAAUACUAUUAAUCAGCAGGUCUCGCCGCUGGAGAAAAAAAGAGUGAUCAAAGAGAAACAGUGAAAAUGUAAAGAAAAAGAAGUGAGACAGAGGAGGAGAAAGAAAAGAGAAAUUGGGUGUGAGAAAGAAGAAAGAGAGCGAAUAGGAAAAAUAAAAGGGAAAUAAAAGAAAUAGAAAAAAUAAGGAAACAAGAGGAGAAAAAGACAAAAAGAGGAAAUGAGGCCACAAGAGAAGCAAGAGAAAGAGACUAAGAGAGAAAGAGUGUAAGAGAAGAGAGAGAGAGAAAGAACAAAAGAAAGAGAGGGAAGCAAGAGAGAGGAGAAAGUGAGGGAAUAGAAACAAAUGAGAGAAUGAGAAAAGAGCAAUACUAGUAAUCAGCAGGUCUCGCCGCUGGAGAAAAAAAGAGUAAUCGAAGAGAAACAGGGAAAAUGUAAAGAAAAAGAAGUGAGACAGAGGAGGAGAGAGAAAAGAGAAAGUGGGUGUGAGAAAGAGAAAUGGGUGAGAGAAAGAAGAAAGAGAGAGAAUAAGAAAAAUAAGAGAAAUAAAAGAAAUAGAAAAAAGACAGAAACAAGAGGAGAAAAAGAGGCCACAAGAGAAGCAAGAGAAAGAGACUAAGAGAGAAAGAGUGUAAGAGAAGAGAGAGAGAGAGAGAGAAAACAAAAGAAAGAGAGGGAAGCAAGAGAAAGAGACUAAGAGAGAAAGAGUGUAAGAGAAGAGAAGAGAAGAGAGAGAGAGAGAGAGAGAGAGAGAGAGAGAAAGAACAAAAGAAAGAUAGGGAAGCAAGAGAAAGGAGAAAGAGAGUGAAUAAAAACAAAUGAGAGAAUGAGAAAAGAGCGAUACUAGUAAUCAGCAGGUCUCGCCGCUGGAGAAAAAAAGAGUAAUCGAAGAGAAACAGGGAAAAUGUGAAGAAAAGAAGUGAGACAGAGGAGGAGAGAGAAAAGAGAAAGUGGGUGAGAGAAAGAAGAAAAAGAGUGAAUAAGAAAAAUAAAAGAAAUAGAAAAAAGAAGGAAACAAGAGGAGAAAAAGACAAAAAGAGUAAAAGAGGACACAAGAGAAGCAAGAGAAAGAGACUAAGAGAGAAAGAGUGUAAGAGAAGAGAGAGAGAGAGAGAAAGAACUAAAGAAAGAGAGGGAAGCAAGAGAAAUGUGAAAGAGAGUGAAUAGAAAGAAAGGAGAGAAUGAGAAAAGAGAAAUAAAAUAAAUAGAAGAGAAUAUAGGGAGGCUUCUAAGUAAACAAAAUUAUAAUUCUUACAAAAAAAGUCUAAGUGCGCUGUAUAGUCUGAAAAAUAGUAAAUAGUUUUUUUUCCAGUCAAACAAAAAAUAAAAAAAAAUCAAAACUGCACCAGAUUUUAAAUCACGGAUUAUAUCUGACAAAAACGUAAUGAAUAGUCUGUAGCAUUUUAAUCAGUAAUUUCCCAAAAACAUGAUUUUUCUUAUUGUACUGGUUACUGCACGUGCACACAUUGAAGGGAGUGGAUGAAUGGGUGCUAAAAUAUAUAUCUGAAGACCCUCUUCCACUCACGGUGUAACCAGCCAUCUGAUUGGUCUGAUCUGAUUCUUUCUGUUAAGGGGUGGGAUUUUAUUUGUAAAAGUUAUUGGUGUAAGAAAAUGUUCAUUAUAUCAAAGUCUUGCAUUGUUUAGUUUUGCCAUACUUUUAUUCAAUUUCAAUUAGUUUAUUAUUAGUUUAUAAUUAUUUUUAAUAGAGAACUUUUUUUUCUAGCACCUAAUAAAGGAUGUGUGAUGUGUGUGUACUGAUUCGUACUGAGCAGACAGGAAGAAAAAGUGUGUGUGUGUUUAAGGGCUGAACUUUGGAGAGUAAAAUUGAGACGGGCUGUAAAAGGCUCGCUCGCUGCAUUUUUUCAGCUGAAGCAUUUUUUUCAGCUCUGAACAACACGGCUUUGUGUUUGGUCUGAAGCAGCCCGUGCUAACUUAUUAAUUCUGCCCCUGACUUUAUUACUCUUUCUCUCUUUCUCUCUCUCUCUCUCUCUGCUGGAGGGGUGGGUGAAGGGGGUGUUGUUUGAUCUGACGUGUAGAAUUUGCCUGAAGGGAAGGAGAGAUGGAGGGAAUGUGAGCGGAGGAGCUGGAGGAGGUUCUUUAUCACUGAUGGAGGUAAUUUGAGACGUGACGGGUUUUGCUGCUGAUGGAGACGGAGGAUUUUUAGGAGAGGAGCCAGAAAUUACCCUGUCACUGCCUCUCCCCUCUUCAUCAUUCUGUCAAUCAUCUCUCUCUCUCUCUUUCUCUCUCUCUCUCUUUUUCUAUUCUUUAGAGGAGUGUUUUUGUGUAGUGCUCCUGCUGUCAGCUCUCUCUCUCUCUCUCCCUCCUUUCAGAUCUGUGCUCUUAUUUUUCCUCCCUCCCUCUCUCUCUCCCUCUCUCUCCCUCACUCGCUCUCUCUCUUUGUGACUUCAGGAGGGAAAAUUGGACUUAAAAAAAAAGAGAAAAUUGCAAAAAGACAUAAUGGAGGAUUAGGGGGUCGGAGAGAAGGAGAAGAGAGAAAAAAAGAGUAAUUGAAGAGAAACAGGGAAAAUGUAAAGAAAAAGAAGUGAGACAGAGGAGGAGAGAGAAAAGAAAAUAUGGGUGUGAGAAAGAGAAAUGGAUGAGAGGAAGAAGAAAGAGAGUGAAUAGAGAGAAAGGAGAGAAUAAGAAAAAUUAAAGAGAAAUAAAAUAAAUAGAAAAAAGACGAAAACAAGAGGAAAAAAGACAAAAAGAGGAAAAGAGGCCACAAGAGAAGCAAGACAAAGAGACUAAGAGAGAAAGAGUGUAAGAGAAGAGAGAGAGAGAAAGAACUAAAGAAAGAGAGGGAAGCAAGAGAAAGGAGAAAGAGAGUGAAUAGAAAGAAAUGAGAGAAUGAGAAAAUAGAAAUCAAAUAAAUAAAUAAAAGGAAAAUACAAAAAAAGAGAAACAGAAGGAAAAGAGGGAAAAAAAAACAAUAGGAGAAAAAGACAAAAGGAGAAAAGAGGCCACAAGAGAAGCAAGAAAAAAAGACUGAGAGAGAAAGAGUGUAAGAGAAGAGAGAAAAAGAGUGAAUAAGCAAGAGAAAUGAGAGAAAGUGAAUAAAAAGAAAAGAGAGAAUAAGAAAAGAGAAAUAAAAGGAAUAGAAGAGAACAAGGGAGAGGAGAAAAAACAAGAGAAGGAAAACUAAAGCCACAUGAGAAGCAAGAGGAAGAGACUAAGAGAGAAAAAGAGUGUGAAAGAAGAGUGAGAGAGAGAAAGAAAAAAGAGAGCAAAUAAGCAAGAGAAAGGAGAGAGAGUGAAUAAAAAAGAGAAAUAAAAGGAAUAGAAGAGAAAAUACAAAAAAAGAGAAACAGAGGAAGAGUGCGAGAGAAAAGAGAGAAAGAGAGAAAAAAGAGAAUAAGAGAAGCAAGAGAAAGGAGAGAGUGAAUAGACAAAAAGGUGAGAAUGAGAAUAGAAAGAAAAAGACAAAAAAGAGAAACAGGGAAAGGAGGAAAAAACGAAAGGAGAAAAGAGAUCACAAGAGAAUUAAGAGAAAAAGACUGAGAGACAAAGAGUGUGAGAGAAAAGAAAAAAGGAAGCGAGAGAAGCAAGAGAAAGGAGAAAGAGAGUGAAUAGAAAGAAAGAAGAGAAAGACAAAAAAGAGAAACAGAGGGAAAGGAGGGGGAAAAAGACACAAGAGGAGAAAAAGACACAAGUAGGAAAGAGGCCACAAGAGAAGCAAGAGAAAGAGACUAAGAGAGAAAGAGAGAGUAAGAAAAAAGAGAGUGAGAGAAGCAGGAGAAAGGAGAAAGAGAGUGAAUAGACAAAAAGCAGAGAAUGAGAAUAGAAGAGAAAAAGACAAAACAGAGAAACAGAGGGAAAGGAGGGGGGAAAAAAGAGGAGAAAAAGACACAAGUAGGAAAGAGGCCACAAGAGAAGCAAGAGAAAGAGACUGAGAGAGAAAGAGAGAGAGAGCGAGUAAGAAAAAAGAGAGCGAGGGAAGCAGGAGAAGGGAGAAAGAGCAGGAGUUAGGUAAUAAUGUUGGGCUGCUUGUCGCUAACGCUAAUGUUAAACUACAGUCAGAAGUGCAGCCGAGUGUAAAGAGCGGCAGCUGAGAUUUGAUCAGGCUCACUCACACACACACACACACACACACAGACACACACAUACACACAGACACACACACACACACACACACACACUGUUUCUUUUUCACUCACUCAACCCCAAACAGUCCCCACACUCCACUUUCCCUCUCUCUCUUACACACUAAAUACUUGUGCACCCCCCCUAUACACACACACACACACCUCACGCCCUAUACACACACACACUCACACACACACACCUCACCCGAGACCACCUGACUCUAUGGUGUGUGACUAGCAUGUCGGAAUAUGAAUGUAAGAGUGUGUGUGUGUGAUGUGGAAGGAAGGUGACAGGUGUGUGUGUGUGUGUGUUGGUGGAGGUGAGUUCUGGAGGGGGGAAAGUUACUCAUUGUUGCCGGAGUCAACAAGAACCUACUGCCUGAGGGGACACCCCCCUUCUAAAGGUACAGAAAGUCCACACACACACACACUCACACACACACACACACACAGACUGGGACGGAAGCCUUACAGAGUGGUGGAGAAUGUAACAACCAGACUCUAAAGCCACAGAGCAGCGUGCCAAACUAGUCAAUCUCAGUGACACAACCAGCCUGAUCUCACACACACACACACACACACACACACACCUAUCCCUCCGCACCCACAAGCUCAGACCUAUUCAUCAUCUGCACCACAGUUUCUCACACUCGUAUCUCUUUCCUGCUACUCCACUGACGUCACACUGCAGUCCUGACAUUGUUCACAAGGUCCUCGUGUUGUUGUAUUAAUUUUCACUGUGUAAAAUCCCGAUAUUAGGAAUUUUGGGCCCGAUCCAAGUAUAUUUAAGUAUAUUUUCAGAGAUGCACCAAUGUGGGAAUUCUGUUCCGAUGCUGAUACGGCUGCAACUAACAAUUAUUUUGAUAUAAAGUCAAGUCAAUUAGUUUUAUUGUCAAUACUGCACAUGUGCAGGGCAUACAGAGAUUUAAAUUACGUUACUCUACUCAUCACGGAUUGCAGGCAGGAGGCGGACGUAAAAGUAUAAUUAAAUAAGAAACAAACAAAUAAACAAACAAACAAGGAGCAAACGAGAAAACAAGCAAACAUAAACAAACAGGGAGUAACAAACAAGGAACAAAAAAGGGACAGAAAUAAUAAAAAAUAAACUAAACAGGACAGGGAUAAAUAAAUAAAUAAUUAAUAAACAAGGAAUAUAGAGAGUGCAAUAAACAAGAAAACGAGGAUAGACAGAACAACAUAGAAAGGUUCAAAGACCGACGAAUAAACACAGACAUAAGAGGACUAUAUAUAUACACACACAGAAAGCACACACCUGGGGAAAAAGGUAACGAGGGGCGGGGCUAUAAAUUACACACACGUGAUGGAAAAUUACUGGGGAAGUUUUUUCUUUAACAAAGAUAUAUUAUUAACUUUAUCUGAGAGAAAGAUGCUCCUUUAGCUACCAAAACUAUUAACAUAUUUGAGGCUAGAAAAAACAACUGUUAUUUUUAUAUUUUAAAGUUUUUCUUUAAGAAGAUGAGAAUGUCACAUUCUCUGGAGAAAGGGCGGCUCUUUGAGCAGUCACAAUGUCCGCAGCGUCGGCUACAGUGUGCUGCGCCAUUCGCGUAGCGCGCUCGUGCUUGUGUAGCUUAGAGGGAGGGAUCGUCGAUCCUCUUUUUGACUUUGAUGCUCGAGACCAUGACAUAAUUUUGAUCGAUUCUGAUAAAAUAUCGAAAUCGUGACACCCCUAUUGACCAGGGUUGUGGAUCUCCUGGAACUGGAGCUCUAGAGCAGGGGUGUCCAAACUAAUAGAAUGAAAGUUUGCCCGCUGUUAAGCAGGUUUUUAUAAUGUGAGAUUCAAAGUUUGAACGCUAGGUGUCAGAAACGGGCCAAAGAGUCUAAAAGCAGAGAAGGUGCGCAUUUCUAGCGCAGAAAAUCGGGCCAAAGAGUCUAAAAGAGGAGAGAGUGCGCAUUUCUAGCGCAGAAAAUCGGACCAAAGAGUCUAAAAGAGGAGAGAGUGCGCAUUUCUAGCGCAGAAAAUUGGGCCAAAGAGUCUAAAAGAGGAGAGAGUGCGCAUUUCUAGCGCAGAAAAUCGGGCCAAAGAGUCUAAAAGCGGAGAGGGUGCGCAUUUCUAGCGCAGCAAAACGGGCCAAAGAGUCUAAAAGUUGCCGUAAUUAAGCAGUUUUAUAUUAAGAGACAUCAUGAAAUGAAACAUCAAUUUGAAAAAUUUUAGUUUACACAACACUGUCAAAGAUAAAGAUAGUAAGUCAAGUAAAAUGGUGUGUAAAUGAAAUAAUCAGGAAAAUGUAUUAUUUAAAGUGGUAUAUUUCAUUAUUUGUUUUAUUAUAGAGUCUGUGGCCUGUGACUUCAAAUAUAUUUCUCCUUCUGGCCCCCAACAAAAAAAGUUUGGACACCCCUGAUUUAGCGCUUCAGAGAGUGAAGACGCUGGGCAGACAUUGUCCAGCAGCAGCUUCAGCUUCAGCCUUCCUUUAUACAAUGGAGUGUUUCACAGGAGCUUUGUGGAAAGCACGAGUUCAGUGGGUGAGAGAGAGAGAGAGAGAGAGAGGGAGUGAGUAAGAGAAAGAGAGAGAGAGAGAGAGAGAGAGAAGUGUGUAAAAGCACACAAUCUGUAAUGGUGUAUACUGUUCUCACAUCAGAAUUUAUGACACAUCUGGACCCAGCAAGGCUCACAGACUGACCACAGAGCAGCCUACUCAUCUAUUCAUCUAUUCAUCUACCCUCACUCUCUUUAUCUCUUUCUCUGUCUUUUUUAUCUCUCUCUUUUUCGUUUCAGCUUUCCCUGGGUUUAGUCUUUUUUUUUUGCUCCCCUCCUCCCCCCGUCUCUCUGGUUCUCUGUGGUUCUCCAUGGCGCUGCUCUCUCUCUCUCUCUCUCUCUCUCUCUCUCUCUCUCCGCUGCGGUUUCUCCUCCACUCGGAUAAUUACAGAAAGCUGAGUACGUAGGAGGGAGGAGAGAGAGAGAGAGAGGAAAGGAAGGAAGGAGGGAGGAAUGGAGGGAAGGCAUGUCUAAAAAUAAACUUGGACUCCUGUAGAAGAAGAGAGAGAGUUUUGUGUUGUGAGAGGUUGUAAUUGUCUGGUGUAAUUGCAGGACGGGAGCUGGGAGCCGUUGUCGCGUGUUUUUGUCGUUUACUUUUGUUCUGUUUUUCUCUCGACUUUGAAAAACUCUCCGAAGCUCUCAGUGCUGUUUGAGUUUCAGAUGGAUGUGAUUAGAUAGCUGGCAGCAGAGUGUGUGAGUGUGUUUGUGUGUGUGUGAGAGUGUGUGUGUGUGUGUUUGUGCGUGUGUGAGUGUGUGUGUGUGUGUUUGUGUGUGUGUGUGCAUUCAGAUUUUAUUAGGCAGGAGUCUAAAGACUUGUUAGAACAUAUGAGAGAGAGAGAGAGAGAGAUAGA